This 253-nucleotide ribosomal RNA is filed under the name uncultured bacterium. RNAcentral's name for it is "partial 16S ribosomal RNA". It matches the Rfam family "Bacterial small subunit ribosomal RNA", at positions 524 to 776 of the family's 1533-position model. The record is from RNAcentral.
GACGAACCGAGCGAACGUUGUUCGGAAUCACUGGGCUUAAAGGGCGCGUAGGCGGGCGCUCAAGGCUGUGGCGAAAUCCUCCGGCUCAACCGGAGAACGGCCAUGGAUACUGGGUGUCUCGAGGGUGAUAGGGGUAUGCGGAACUAUCGGUGGAGCGGUGAAAUGCGUUGAUAUCGAUAGGAACUCCGGUGGCGAAGGCGGCAUACUGGACCACUUCUGACGCUGAGGCGCGAAAGCCAGGGGAGCGAACGGG